GCCCAGCCGUAAACUUUUACUUACACCCCAAUCGCCAGGGAACUACGAGCAAAGCUUAAAACUCAAGGGACUUGACGGUACCCCACAUCCACCUAGAGGAGCCUGUCCUAUAAUCGAUAACCCCCGCUUAACCUCACCAUUUUUAGCUUAUCAGCCUGUAUACCUCCGUCGUCAGCUUACCACGUGAGCGCCUAUUAGUGAGCUUAAUGCCCCUACGCCAACACGUCAGGUCAAGGUGCAGCAUAUAAAAUGGGAAGAGAUGGGCUACACUAUCUAGAAUAGAUUACACGAAAGACUAUAUAUGAAACCUAGUCAAAAGGCGGAUUUAGAAGUAAAAGAAGACCAAAGUGCUUCCUUUAACUCGGCACUGGGGUGUGUACACACCGCCCGUCACCCUCUUCAAAGCUCCAAUACAGUUUAUAACCCCCAUCAGCGCACCAGAAGAGGCAAGUCGUAACAUGGUAAGUAUACCGGAAGGUGUGCUUGGAAA
RNAcentral lists this ribosomal RNA (490 nucleotides) under Dendropsophus giesleri (Giesler's treefrog). RNAcentral's name for it is "partial small subunit ribosomal RNA". It matches the Rfam family "Bacterial small subunit ribosomal RNA", at positions 794 to 1522 of the family's 1533-position model. Lineage: Eukaryota; Metazoa; Chordata; Amphibia; Anura; Hylidae. The record is from RNAcentral.